GGGGACGACAGGCUUCGACGGGGGUCGAGGAGCUAGGAAUAGCAUGUCGAGGUUUUUUCAGGUCCUCGUAAAACAACUGAAAGCAAAAUGUAAACGCAGAUAACUAUGCGUAUGCUUUGGCUGCCUAAUUAAAUUAGGUAGCCCGUUCGUUUAGACCUGGCCACGGGGUCUAAAUUGAACGUCGAUGAAUGUGGCUAUGUUGUCAGUCUUGCCUGAGGACUGAUAAUGAACCAUUUCAGGCUGGCUUCUGCGGGUUUUGUUUGUUGAACCUGCAAAAGUGAGAUUCAAUCAACAAACUAAGCAUGUAGAAUUUCUUAGUGACUGUCCUCCGGACGUGGGUUCGAUUCCCACCGUCUCCACAA
RNAcentral lists this transfer-messenger RNA (362 nucleotides) under bacterium. RNAcentral describes it as "JAABYK01 sp011775825 Standard tmRNA". It matches the Rfam family "transfer-messenger RNA". From Rfam's summary of the family: Bacterial tmRNA, also known as 10Sa RNA or SsrA, is named for its dual tRNA and mRNA-like properties. Its role is to liberate the mRNA from a stalled ribosome. RNAcentral also lists the same sequence under 1 other name. The record is from RNAcentral.